This 627-nucleotide ribosomal RNA is filed under the name Yersinia enterocolitica. RNAcentral describes it as "partial 23S ribosomal RNA". It matches the Rfam family "Bacterial large subunit ribosomal RNA", at positions 1608 to 2215 of the family's 2925-position model. Lineage: Bacteria; Pseudomonadati; Pseudomonadota; Gammaproteobacteria; Enterobacterales; Yersiniaceae. The record is from RNAcentral.
CCAGGAAAAGCCUCUAAGCAUCAGGUAACAUGAAAUCGUACCCCAAACCGACACAGGUGGUCAGGUAGAGAAUACUCAGGCGCUUGAGAGAACUCGGGUGAAGGAACUAGGCAAAAUGGUGCCGUAACUUCGGGAGAAGGCACGCUGGCAUUAGGUAAAGGGACUUGCUCCCGGCGCCGAAGCCAGUCGCAGAUACCAGCUGGCUGCAACUGUUUAAUAAAAACACAGCACUGUGCAAACACGAAAGUGGACGUAUACGGUGUGACGCCUGCCCGGUGCUGGAAGGUUAAUUGAUGGGGUCAGCCGCAAGGCGAAGCUCUUGAUCGAAGCCCCAGUAAACGGCGGCCGUAACUAUAACGGUCCUAAGGUAGCGAAAUUCCUUGUCGGGUAAGUUCCGACCUGCACGAAUGGCGUAAUGAUGGCCAGGCUGUCUCCACCCGAGACUCAGUGAAAUUGAACUCGCUGUGAAGAUGCAGUGUACCCGCGGCAAGACGGAAAGACCCCGUGAACCUUUACUAUAGCUUGACACUGAACAUUGAGCCUUGAUGUGUAGGAUAGGUGGGAGGCAUAGAAGUGUGGACGCCAGUCUGCAUGGAGCCAACCUUGAAAUACCACCCUUUAAUGUUU